This 72-nucleotide transfer RNA is filed under the name Entamoeba terrapinae. RNAcentral describes it as "tRNA-Arg". It matches the Rfam family "tRNA". Rfam says of the family: Transfer RNA (tRNA) molecules are approximately 80 nucleotides in length. Their secondary structure includes four short double-helical elements and three loops (D, anti-codon, and T loops). The record is from RNAcentral. Lineage: Eukaryota; Evosea; Mastigamoebida; Endamoebidae.
GGGCAUAUGGCGCAAUGGAAACGCACCAGACUUCGAAUCUGGGGAUUGCAGGUUCGAACCCUGCUAUGCUCG